This 5641-nucleotide long non-coding RNA is filed under the name Actinidia chinensis (golden kiwifruit). RNAcentral describes it as "long non-coding RNA (ACHI_LNC001095)". Lineage: Eukaryota; Viridiplantae; Streptophyta; Magnoliopsida; Ericales; Actinidiaceae. The record is from RNAcentral.
GAUCAAUUGAAGAAACAGAUCAUCUAAACAAAUUUGGCAGGUUCCAUAUGAGAGGAGACACUGAGAGAUUUGUAGGCAGCAAACAUCUAAUUGGCAAAAAAAACAAUUAUGAGAAACAUGUAACUUUACCACAGUAACAAUUAACUAGGGCUCCACAAUCAAAUAUUGAACAAUACAGUGGCAUGUGAAUUGGUGCUACGAUCGGUGAAGUCAAAAAAGAGCAAUGGAUGAGACCAAUUCAUCUCCCAGCAACUUAAAUGUUGGCUCGGGUCUCCACCGAUACAAUACCAGUUGUUGUCUUAUUGUUUAGUCUUAUUUGUCAUGCACGAUCUGUCUCGCGUUGUAUUAAGUUUGAGACUGUGUUGGAACUCAAAGAAAUUAAAUAGAUAGGAAAAUCGGAAAAGAAAUUUAGUUUUGUCCACUUCUUUACAACCUGUCCUUUGCUUUUUACCUUUCCUUCCAAUUCUCCAUGCACACCAAGAUUCAUAUAAACUAAGAGACUUUGAUUGGCAACAUUGAAAAAGAAAUUGCUCUGGAAUGCAUUCCUUCGUAUACCAAUUAUAAGUGUAUGUUGAAGCCAAUGGACAUGAAAGUUCUACAAUUCAACAAUGAAACUCCCAAACCGUAAUACCAUGCAGAGCCAUUUGUUAGAUGAAAAUAACUGAAAAAUGGGGCAGACUCUCAACACCAAAGCAGAACACCCAUUGUUGAGCUACAAUUUUCAAUCCUAGUGCAUCUGGUUGAUGUAAUUCAAAGGUCAAUAUUCUCGGGGUACAUGUAAGAUAUUUAUGAUAAUCUUUCUAGAGAAAGGGUUUUCUAUAUCACUGCCGAACAAAAAUGUCAAAAUAUUCCAUCGACCUAGGGUAAAGAAAAUAUGCUUGUUGAUCGUACAACUAUUGGUGACUUAAUGAGAGAUGGGCCGACCGACUCAAGAUUUAGGAAUGCAUGAUUUUUAACUGAUUGAGAGAAUAGCAGACAGUGAAGAACCUGUGUGGGAAUUUCACUUCCAAUUCGCUAGUACGAAUGCUGACAAAACUGCCAUGGCCUUAGCCUCCAAAAGACGCUAAGAGUUAGUCGGCGGUCCUCCUCAAUAUUCUCCAGCCAAUAAAAAAAGAUUGAAGGAGUUCAAUAUCAAAUGGUGAGCUUUCAAGUAAGUUUUAAUCUCUUACAAUAACCAAUAGCAUGAAUAAGUCAAUUGAAGGACAACACUGAUCUGUGUUAUAUGAUUAUUGUGUACAGAAAAAAAACUAACAAUGUCUGCAAUAAGGUCUUUUUAGGAGGUAGUGAAUUAGUGUGCCCAAUGAUUUUUUGAACAGAAACUGUAACUAUGUUCCUAACUUCGGUUGACGGGUUAAGCUUAAGAAGCAAACAGGCCAGGUUUAAGCAUUAUGGUGCAAGUUUUACAUAUAUUUUAACAAUAAAUAAAUAUUAAAUGGUGCGAGACUGCCCCAAAGUUAUAUAUGUUCUAUCCUAUCUAAAUGGAGGUUUUUAGCUUUCGAGGCAUAAGUAUAACCCAAAUCUCACUUUCAAAAAAUGGAAAAAAAAUAAACAGAUCACCCAACUGUGUCCAACGAUUAGAUUAUAAGCCACCUGAAGUGCCCAACAAGUUAAAUCUGCAUUUUCAGAGUCAUCCUUUAUCAAGUUUUGAGAAGUAACCAUGAACUAUUUUGUGCACAUUGCUCCCUUAUAAAACAAAUCAUUUUCUUUUCAUCACAAGGAUACAAAUCAUCUUAGACAUGCUUUUAAAAAGGGGUUCUCUUCAAGCUAUAGUUUAUUUUCCAAGCUUAAGCAAGAUUACUCAAACUCACCGGUUGCUGACACUUGACAGAUGAAAUUUACUGAAUUUGACGUAGCGUCAUCUUCUAAAACUGUUAUAUCCAAGUUAUAUAACAUAACCACAAGAAAUAACUUUGAUCGACUAUAUUGCAUGAAGUAUCUGAUUUUGAGGCAUUAUGGAAAUUAUUGGUUGACUAAAACUUGUAGGGGAGAAUUUUGUGCUCUCAGUGCAUAGGGCUAAGUUCAGCAAACUGCCUCUAUUGGAAGUUUCAAUCGCUCAUGAAAUGAUUUUGUGGAUUUUCUUUUGUUAGGUAACAUAACUGAAAACACACAAACACACACGUACCAAAAAAAGUUCUAGCAUGGCCACUAUAAUCUGUGAAUAAUUUUUUUCGUGAAACUGUAGUUUGCAAUAAUGAUUUUGUACAAUAAUUAAAAGCUUGUGAAGAUUAUACAGACAUAAUGGAAGCCAGUAAAGAAUCGUAAAAACACAUCCUUUAGUAAUAGAAAAAAUAAUAAGUAACAGGAUUCAGUACCCGAUGCCAUCAAGCAACCGAUGAAGUAGAUGAGAUCAACUCCAGUAGUUUGCUAUUAAGCUACUAUUUGUCACAAGAAAGCCACCCGAAGGAAAUAUAAUUCUCUGCUCAACUUGAUAGGCUACAAAAUCAAGUCCACUCCCGCUCGAGUCGGUCACCUAAUAACAAGUUAAUCCUUAUGUCAAACUUACAAUAAACAACCCAUCCCAAUGAAGCAGCAAGUGUGUGUUUCCAUCUGUUUUGUUUACCGAAAACAAUGUGCUUUCUUUUGUUUUACUAAUAAAAAGUAUAAAAUGGAUUCCCAAAGCUUUCAUUGGUAUUGGAAAUGAAACUAUCUGGAAUAUAAAGAUCCAUAAAGUAUGGUUGUGGAUUGAUGCAACCUUUCCCCCUGUUUCGGGCACACAUAUAAUCCCCAACAACAGAGCCUGUAGUUUUUAAAUGAAUGAAGAUUAGACAUGUAGAAACAGACAAUUUCCAAUACACAUAUAUCUAGAGACUAAUAGGAUACCUUGAUUCAAUGUUUGGGCUAGUUUCACAAGAAUAAAGCCCUACCAAAGCCACCCAUUAAGUAUCUUGCACAACUACUACAAGGACAGGCCUACUGCAUCAGAUGCAAUGCACAAGAGUGAAGACCAUGAAACAAUUAGAAUAUAGAUCAAUCCUCUGGUUCACUUUAACAAAAAUGAAGAACAUCAUCAAAGGCAAGCAAAGUAAAGGGUAAAAAACAGUCCAUGUGACCAAUCCUCUAAAAUUAAGACACCACUAGAUUUAGUCUAAUAGCACUAAUAAUUUCUUGCAACUGCACUCGUAAUCAGCACACAAUACAAUAAGAAAUCUAUUUAAAUUGAAUAAAUAUGGGCCCGUCUCGAUUAAAAUGAAGAUUAGAGGGAGUGACAGACGUAAUGCACACGAAGUUAAAUGAGAAAGCCCAUGAUCAGACUCAUAAUGACAUUAAAAACCUUAUGAUCAUAAAGAGAGCAACACAGUUAUUUCAAUGUGCACUGCCAAUUAAGUUCUGCCAAAUUACUGGGCUGUCGCCUGUCAUGUUUUCCUAAAAUGGGACAAAUUUGCUAGAACAAUGCCCAAGCCCUAAAAAAAAUUUAGGCUUAGGCCAAGUUUGCCCUUUGACAAAUGUGCAUCUUAAGGCCUACUGAUGGCCCUAGGGUAUUCAGACUCUGGAGGCUCGAGCUUGAGAUUAGGUUAGGUAGUGAUUGAAAACCCAUUUUAGCCCCGACAAAUUAAUAACAUGCUGGUCAUUUUUUUUCCACCCGUCUGAGUGACCGUCGUCAUCAACUGGAUCACCUUGAGACGGAAUGUAAAGUUGAAGUUUAAACUUGUCAAAAAAUUAUGAUUUCUAUAUUUUUCCCUAAAUAUUUCAAUUCGUAAAAAAAAUAAUUGGCACAUAAUUUUGAAAUACCAAGUAGAGAUAGUUGUAUAAUACUUUCCUUUUGCUUCAGCUGUGCGUAUCUUUUUAUUUUCGUAAGAAAACACUUCCCAUAAAAAAAUGCCGUUCUUUUCAAAAUCAUUACCCGUAUUGAUAUAUUGAUGUAAUAUGUAAAAAUAAUAAAAAUGCACAACAAUAAAAAAAAAUUAAAUGAAACAUGAAAAUAUGAUAGCGGAUUCUCAAAUUCGACUCCCCCUAAGACUACGCCGAGUAUCAUAACAAAAAUGAUGGCAUGCAAUAGAAGUUUUUAAAAAAUAAAACAAAACUCUAAACAUCACGAAUAGUGCAAGAACCACUUACAUACAUAUGAACUUGAGAUUAAAUGUUGACUCAAGAGCAAUAUGUAGAUGCAAAUUAUGCAUAUCUAUACAGCUAGAUUAUAUAUGUAAGAGUAUAUAAUGAUGUUAGUUUAUGUUGCUUUGAAUAUUGGGUGAGAUUUGUCUAUGGUCUCCAGGCCAUUUCUUUAACAGAAAGUUUACAUAGUUUAGGGCUAUUUCUAAAUACGAGAUGCCAAGGGUGCGAAGAUGGUGUGCCGUGUUACUACUGUAAGCAAGCACAUGCAUAUUUUUUAACCAUUUGUGGAUGAUAACAUGUUAAGAGUAUAUAAUGAUGUUAGUUUAGGUUGAUUGAAUAUUGGGUGAGAUUUGUCUCUAUGGUCCCAUGCCAUUUCUUUAACAGAAGUUUACAUAGUUUAGGGCAUUUCUAAAUACGAGAUGCCAAGGGUGCGAAGAUGGUGUGGCCGUUGUUACUUAUUAUAAGCAAUCCUGCACAUUGUUUAACCAUUUGUGGAUGAUAAUAUUGUAAGAGUAUAUAAGAUGUUAGUUUAUGUUGAUUGAAUAUUGGGUGAGAUGUUGUCUAUGGUAUCCAGGCCAUUUCUUACAGAAAGUUUACAUAGUUUAGGGAUAUUCUCAAUGACGAGUGCAAAGGGUGCGAAGACUGGCUUUUUUUGUCUUGUGGACGUGUACAUAUUAUAAGCAAUCCCAUGCACAUUGUUUAAACCAUUGUGGAUGCUAUGCUGUAUGCAACAUUACAUGAUUCAUAUAAUCACACCAUCAUGCAUAUUUGUGUAUUUUACCUGCUACUACUGAUGAGUUCACAAUAUGGAGAGGACCAGAGGAAUAAGAAAUCCUAAUUGGUCGGGUAUCAGAGAACUUUCUCAGGAAAUAGGGGCCUUUACAUUUUGCAUACCAUGUAAUUAAGCAAUUGGGACGUUUGGGUCUUCUGGAGAGAUGGAUGGUUGAAUUUGACCUGUUCACUAGCUAACAUGCCUAUGAGAGAAUAUAAACUUGAAUAUGAAAGUACAACAUACUAUAUACCACUCAACGAUUUAUGCCAAUAAUGUUGCUGAUAUGUUGAAAGCCUAAAGUGGGCUAAAGAUCAAUUGAAGGAACAGAUCCCCUAAACAAAUUUGCAAGGUUCAAUCAUGAGAGGAGACAACUGAGAGAUUUGUAAGCAACAAACAAUCUAAUUUGGCAAAACAACAAAUUAUUAAACAUGUAACUUUAUCCACAGUUAACAAUUAACUAGGGCUCCACCAAAUCAAAUAUUGAACACUACAGUGGCAUGUGAAUGUGGUGCUUACGAUCAAUGAAGUCAAAAAAGAGCAUGGAUGAGACCAAUUCGUCUCCCACGUAAAUUAACAUGAUGGCUUGGGUUGCUCCACUGAUCCCAUAACCAGUGGUCUUAUUGGUCCACAUGCACCACGUCGGCAUAUUAAGUUCUGAUACUGUGUUUGGAACUCAAGGAAUUAAAUAGAUAGGAAAAUCGAAAAAGAAAUUUAAUUUUGUCACUUCAUUUACAACCUGUCAUUUGCUUUUUACCUUUCCUUCCACAUAUCUCCAUGCACAUCCAUGAUUCAUAUACAACUAAGAGAAUUUGAUUGGCA